This 253-nucleotide ribosomal RNA is filed under the name uncultured bacterium. RNAcentral's name for it is "partial 16S ribosomal RNA". It matches the Rfam family "Bacterial small subunit ribosomal RNA", at positions 524 to 776 of the family's 1533-position model. The record is from RNAcentral.
UACGGAGGGUGCAAGCGUUAUCCGGAUUCACUGGGUUUAAAGGGUGCGUAGGCGGGCAUUUAAGUCAGUGGUGAAAUACCUGAGCUUAACUUGGGAACUGCCAUUGAUACUAUUUGUCUUGAAUGUCGUGGAGGUUAGCGGAAUAUGUCAUGUAGCGGUGAAAUGCUUAGAUAUGACAUAGAACACCUAUUGCGAAGGCAGCUAACUAUGCGAAUAUUGACGCUGAGGCACGAAAGCGUGGGGAUCAAACAGG